Molecule: long non-coding RNA, 2489 nt
Organism: Lycium ferocissimum
Lineage: Eukaryota; Viridiplantae; Streptophyta; Magnoliopsida; Solanales; Solanaceae
Exons: 6
Source: RefSeq, a predicted model, not a curated record
GUCAAAAAGGAUUUCUUUACCUUUUCUCUUUGAGAGAGAUAGAUCUGAAUUCAGUGUCCAUGGAGUUUUCUCUACUAAUUUUAUUUUCUAUAAAAACCCUUUUGCAUACUAUAAGUAAAGGCUUUGGGGAUCAUAUAUAUAUCAAAAUAACAAGGGCAGCAGUGAGCGAGAUUUACUGACAGAAGAGAGUGAGCAUACGCAGAUAAUUAACACCAAACGCACGAAUCUGAAGAUGAAGAAUGGACGAGGAUCGAGAAAGUUAAGGAUGGGUUACUUUCAUUUUUUAUUCGAAACUAACAUGUUUAUUUCCGCUGUUAUUUAAGAUAUAUGGUUAGUGAGUUCAGAAUGCAUGUGAUCCUAUACAUUUUAAUUGCAUAUUGUUUACAUAUACUACAUAAUACAGUAUGUUGUUUUAACUUUUGAUAAUAAUGUGUACUAUUGAACUGAGCAGGUGAAAAAAAAAGGCAAAAUGAUGGAGACACUGAAUUUAGGUUCUGAAUGGUAGCAAAACGUUGUACCUUUUGAUGAAGUGAAAGGCUAAGUAACGCGUGUCAUCAUUUCCUCUUGAGUUCUCUCUAUAUUAGCAGCUUGACAUGAUACUCACCAGAAAAAAGAAUCACUUUGACUCACAAAAUGUUGACUCAAUCAUUACAAAGUUUAUGUUUUUAAAGAUUUGUAGAUGGGUUUUUUUUUUCCCUGAAAAUAUACAGUAGAUCAUGAAAAAUAUUUAGUUUGAGGUUUUGAAAAGGGUUUUUUUAAAUUUUUAUUUGGGUGAAAACCUAGAUGGAAUAAAAUGAGUGAAUGUUUUAAUGAUAACCCCAAUUAUUAAUUAAAUAUUUUGUUUAAUAAGCGUGACUUUUGAUGUACUUAUAUCUGAUGGAGAGGACAAACAUGGAUUUGGAAGGUAACCUUGUUUUACUGUUCUCAUUUAACCGAAAACAUGCAUAUAUUAUUUUUUAUUAUAUUUUUUUGAGAACAUAAUUGGUAUUUUUUUCUCUUUUCUAGAACUAGACUAGACUAGAACUGUCUAGUUUCUUCUUCAUUCUUUUUAGGUUUUUUUUCCCCUUUAAAUUUUGCUUCAUUUUCUAGAUGAAUAUGAACUAGUUGGGUAACCUCUUUUGGAUAUUUAAACAAAAAAAACUGUCUUUUUUCUGUAUGUGAUAUGAAUCUUUGGAUACUUUCUUGAAAUGCUAGGGAUUUUUUUUAAAAAAAUUCUUUUAUGUGGGUUCAUGUAAUAUUUUAUGUAGGUUUUUUUGAGCUAAUUAAUUUCUCUUCAAUAUGCAGUAAAUGGUAUGAUUUUUGGUUCUUUUGCAGAGGGCAAGAAAGAAAGUUAGUGAAGAAUAGAAAUCUCAGCUAUCAGUGGAAGUUGAAGAUUUUCCAUUUCCAGCAGCAGAUCAGAGAAAAUAAAGUUUCUAGUUUGAGAAGGCAAGAAAGAAAAUUAGUGAAGAAUGAAAUCUUUGCUAUCAGUGGAAGUUGAAAAAUAUUCUAUUUACAGAUGGGAGUUGCCAACCUGUUCAUUGGGGGACCAGCUCAACUGGUUUUAUCAUAUUAUUCAGCAGUUUUUUUUUUCCCAACUUCGAGGGAACAAGAGUAAACAAAGGAGAAUUAACAGGACCAUUUUAUCUAUUGUAUGACCUAAGUUAGAUAAAAUGGGAUAAGUUAUGUUUGCUUCUGAUGGAGAUGAAAGAGCAAGAGAUUGAUAUUUUCUUCACUUGGUGGUAUAUUUGGUGGCUACAUUCUGAAAAGAACUGAAUAGUUUACUAGUCUUGUCCAUUAGCAACAACCUCCCCCUCCGCACAAAAAAGAAGACUACAAAAAAGAAAGAGGUAUUGUACACAUGGUUACUCGGUGUUUCAUUCCAAUAUGGUCUAAUGUCCUCUUUAACUCUUUUGUUGUAAAAGAAAAUUGAAGCGAUUCACCCACUCUAUGCUGGACUGAGGUGAUUGGGGGUUUGGCAUUGGCACUUCUAGAAAUUGGCAAGAAGAGCUCAGGUCGAGGGUUGCAAGUCAGCCCAUAUUUCUUCUGUAUGAUUUUAGGAAUAGGUCUUAUACAUUGAUUGGGUUCGAAUAUAAGCAAUGGUAAGCAGGGGCAGCUAGCAUAGAAGUACAGAGUCGGCAAGAAUCCAGUAACUUUGGUCUGACCCUGUAUAUUUAUUGAGAAGUCUACUAAAUAUGUACAUACAAUCAAAUCAUUCACAGACCUCAAAUCUUAAAUCUGCCUUCGGUCGUAAGUGGAGACUUUGAACCUAGUGAUUGAUCCAAAAGGAACAUGUUAAGUUCUUCACUGUGCAGAAGAUUGUUGUGUGUCAACUUUCUCCUCUUCUACUAUUUGGUAUAUGCUCAAGAGUUCUUGAUACUUUUGUGUUGUUAUUCAAGUGUACCUUGUCAUAUAAGUUCAUUUGAGGUGUUUUUCUUGUUUCCAGUUUCAUUUCAUGUUAAGCUUGAAAAAUUACCCCGUUAAAUGAAACUAUAUAUAGUAUUUCGUGUUAA